This 617-nucleotide ribosomal RNA is filed under the name uncultured bacterium. RNAcentral describes it as "bacterial SSU rRNA". It matches the Rfam family "Bacterial small subunit ribosomal RNA", at positions 151 to 785 of the family's 1533-position model. The record is from RNAcentral.
UGGAAACGACUGCUAAUACCGCAUAAGCCCACGGCUCGGCAUCGAGCAGAGGGAAAAGGAGCAAUCCGCUUUGAGAUGGCCUCGCGUCCGAUUAGCUAGUUGGUGAGGUAACGGCCCACCAAGGCGACGAUCGGUAGCCGGACUGAGAGGUUGAACGGCCACAUUGGGACUGAGACACGGCCCAGACUCCUACGGGAGGCAGCAGUGGGGAAUAUUGCACAAUGGGGGAAACCCUGAUGCAGCGACGCCGCGUGGAGGAAGAAGGUCUUCGGAUUGUAAACUCCUGUUGUUGAGGAAGAUAAUGACGGUACUCAACAAGGAAGUGACGGCUAACUACGUGCCAGCAGCCGCGGUAAAACGUAGGUCACAAGCGUUGUCCGGAAUUACUGGGUGUAAAGGGAGCGCAGGCGGGAGAACAAGUUGGAAGUGAAAUCCAUGGGCUCAACCCAUGAACUGCUUUCAAAACUGUUUUUCUUGAGUAGUGCAGAGGUAGGCGGAAUUCCCGGUGUAGCGGUGGAAUGCGUAGAUAUCGGGAGGAACACCAGUGGCGAAGGCGGCUACUGGGCACCAACUGACGCUGAGGCUCGAAAGUGUGGGUAGCAAACAGGAUUAGAUAC